GACGAACGCUGGCGGCGUGCUUAACACAUGCAAGUCGAGCGGUAAGGCCCUUUCGGGGGUACACGAGCGGCGAACGGGUGAGUAACACGUGGGUGACCUGCCCUCAGCUCUGGGAUAAGCCUGGGAAACCGGGUCUAAUACUGGAUAUGACUCCAUGACGCAUGUUGGUGGGGUGGAAAGCCUUGUGCGGCUGAGGAUGGGCCCGCGGCCUAUCAGCUUGUUGGGUGGGGUGAGGCCUACCAAGGCGACGACGGGUAGCCGGCCUGAGAGGGCGACCGGCCACACUGGGACUGAGGCACGGCCCAGACUCCUACGGGAGGCAGCAGGUGGGGAAUCUUGCGCAAUGGGCGAAAGCCUGACGCAGCGACGCCGCGUGAGGGAUGACGGCCUCGG
Molecule: ribosomal RNA, 393 nt
Filed under: uncultured bacterium
Lineage: Bacteria
Description: bacterial SSU rRNA
Rfam family: Bacterial small subunit ribosomal RNA
Source: RNAcentral